This 615-nucleotide ribosomal RNA is filed under the name uncultured fungus. RNAcentral describes it as "eukaryotic LSU rRNA". The stretch from base 192 to 345 matches the Rfam family "5.8S ribosomal RNA". Lineage: Eukaryota; Fungi. The record is from RNAcentral.
UAGCGUAUUACUCCUCUCCUCACUGCCGCAAGGCUUUGAGUGCUUGAGUCCCUUAACCCUUUGUGAACUUUACAUUUUUUGCUUCGGCAGCGCGCUCCCCUCGCGGGGGGUUGGUAAGGCUGCCGAUAGCCCAUUUAAACCAUUUUAUUUUAAUCAUGAAGUCUGAUUACUGUUAAAUUUAAACAAGUUAAAACUUUCAGCAACGGAUCUCUUGGUUCUCGCAUCGAUGAAGAACGCAGCGAAACGCGAUAGGUAAUGUGAAUUGCAGAAUUCCGUGAAUCAUCGAAUCUUUGAACGCACAUUGCGCCUUCUGGUAUUCCGGUAGGCAUGUCUGUUUGAGCGUCAGCAAACACCCUCAGCUUGAGUAUUUUAUUAUGCGAAGAGUUGGUCUUGGGCAGCGGAUGCCGGUGGUGAUUUCUCCACCUGCGCCCUCCCUAAACUUGCUGCACGACCGCAAGCCCCUUCUAGCCAGGUCAAUGGAGUGGUGUUACAAUCUUCCAAAAAGCCUGCUGGUAACCGCUUCGUGGCGUUAAACCCAGAUGUCUCCCUCAUCGGGGGACUGAAGUUUUGACCUCAGAUCAGACAAGGAUACCCGCUGAACUUAAGCAUAUCAAU